This 761-nucleotide long non-coding RNA is filed under the name Callithrix jacchus (white-tufted-ear marmoset). RNAcentral's name for it is "lncRNA (ENSCJAG00000076069.1)". The record is from RNAcentral. Lineage: Eukaryota; Metazoa; Chordata; Mammalia; Primates; Cebidae.
GUUAGUGAAAUGAAGAGUUGCUACAGGGCAGAAAGCAAAUAAUAAGAGCUCUGUAAACCAAUUUGGUUACUUACUUUCCCUCCAACUCAGGUGCCAUUCACUUAAGCAUUCUUGUGAAGGAACAGCUAUCGGCUAAGUCGUACCAGGGAAAUGCCAAUACAAAAAUAUCAGUAUGUACCUUAAGUAUUGAAUGGAUGUCAAAUACUGGGCAUGAAGAUUGCUAAGCAAAUCUAAGGAACAACUCUCCAAAGGCCACAGAUAGAGGAUUUCACUCUGUCAUUCAGGCUGGAGUACAUGGCUCACUGCAGGCUCGAACUCCUGGGCUCAAGCCAUCCUUCUGCCUCAGCCUCCGGAGUAGCUGGGACUACACGGUCACAUCAGUAUGCCUGGCUAUUUUUUUUUUUUUUUUUUUGAGGCAGAGUCUUGCUAUGUUGCCUAAGCUGAUCUCAAACUCCUGGCCUCGAGUAAUCUUCCUCCUCUACAGCCUCCCGAAGUGCUAAGAUUAGAGGUGAGAGUGACCAUGCCAAACGAAGGGACUGCUCUUUUAACAAUAUUGUAUGAUUUAAUUUAGCCAGCAAGCUUUGAUUAAUAUUGAUGCCCAAAGCUGGGUAGAUCUGUAUAUUCUCUGUAAACAUGCAGAAUAAACAUCUUUUGUCAAUGGUGAGAAAGGAGAGAUGAGCUUCAGAAGAAAAAUUAGACACUAGCUGUGAGUUAUUUUUAGCCUAGCACUUUCAUUUCUUAUAAAAAUAUUCAAAAUAUAG